GAUGAAGAACGUAGCGAAAUGCGAUAAGUAAUGUGAAUUGCAGAAUUCAGUGAAUCAUCGAAUCUUUGAACGCACAUUGCGCCCGCCAGUAUUCUGGCGGGCAUGCCUGUUCGAGCGUCAUUUCAACCAUCAAGCCCCAGGCUUGUGUUGGGGACCUGCGGCUGCCGCGGGCCCUGAAAACCAGUGGCGGGCUCGCUAGUCACACCGAGCGUAGUAGCAUACACAUCGCUCAGGGCGUGCUGCGGGUUCCGGCCGUUAAACCCCUUUUUUACCCAAGGUUGACCUCGGAUCAGGUAGGAAGACCCGCUGAACUUAAGCAUAUCAAUAAGCGGAGGA
RNAcentral lists this unclassified non-coding RNA (336 nucleotides) under soil metagenome. RNAcentral describes it as "partial contains 5.8S ribosomal RNA, internal transcribed spacer 2, and large subunit ribosomal RNA". The stretch from base 1 to 120 matches the Rfam family "5.8S ribosomal RNA", at positions 35 to 154 of the family's 154-position model. The record is from RNAcentral.